CAGGGGGCGACUCCUCGAGCGAGCGCGGUUUUGGAUUUGAGUUUGACAAAUUAGGUGCAAACGCCGAGUGAAACUCGCACGGGAAGUCCGGAACCUGGCAGGACAGGGAAAAAGAGAAGCAGGCAGAUCACCAUAAUUCGGCUUCGGCCGAGAGUGCCAGCACCUAGCGAUCUCAAGAUCAGACAAAAGCCAGAGGUGAAUCGCGUGGAAGAGCACCACGAUUUCGGUCGGCAGAAACCGUCUACGGUUUGAGCAGUCAGUCAGGAUACAGACAGGACGAAAGCACCCCAUCGUUUGGGGUGUUUCUGGAGUAUCAAAACUGUUGAACGAUUUCGGACGGAAAUCUCGUCAUCGACGACGAGCUCAGCAAGGGCCUCGGAGAGAUCCCAUCCAGCAAAACGGUCGCACUGGACGGCCAGAGGGGUCUCCAGCGGAGGCAGCAACCUUGUGAGUGGCGCGGCGAGCUUUUGGCAGAAUGCGUGGGUGGUGCGGCGAUAGUCGUCCGUCCGCGACAAGGAUCGGUACGGUAGGGGGACGCCCCAUGUAGCCGCUUCCGAAUGCGAACAAGGGCACCGUGAGUACGGAGAAGAAACCGUGAGUAAGAAAACUGAGGUGUUUUGUAAAGUAGGAAGAUAGAGAAAGAGGAGUGAAAAGGAAAGAAGAUAAGAUGACUAGGAGGUAGGAAGUAACAGAGGAAAAUGGGUGCAUUACCCUA
Molecule: long non-coding RNA, 715 nt
Organism: Armigeres subalbatus
Lineage: Eukaryota; Metazoa; Arthropoda; Insecta; Diptera; Culicidae
Exons: 4
Source: RefSeq, a predicted model, not a curated record